AACGCACGAGACCUGCGGACCUGCGGAGGGAUCAUUACCGAAUGGCCUCUGGGCCUUCACAAACCCCAUCAAACCUGUGGACCUCUCAGAGAGAGCGUGCUUCGGCGUCCCCUCGGCUCUGCCCGAGGGACGCCGCCUUCAUGCAGAUAGAUCGUCUUGUCUGAUUUUGAAACCAUGAGAAUUUAAAACUUUCAACAAUGGAUCUCU
Molecule: unclassified non-coding RNA, 207 nt
Filed under: soil metagenome
Description: partial contains 5.8S ribosomal RNA, internal transcribed spacer 2, and large subunit ribosomal RNA
Source: RNAcentral